This 253-nucleotide unclassified non-coding RNA is filed under the name uncultured Nitrospira sp. RNAcentral describes it as "contains 16S-23S intergenic spacer region". It matches the Rfam family "Bacterial small subunit ribosomal RNA", at positions 524 to 776 of the family's 1533-position model. Lineage: Bacteria; Pseudomonadati; Nitrospirota; Nitrospiria; Nitrospirales; Nitrospiraceae. The record is from RNAcentral.
UACGGAGGGGGCUAGCGUUGUUCGGAAUUACUGGGCGUAAAGAGCACGUAGGCGGUUGGGUAAGCCUCUUGGGAAAUCUCCCGGCCCAACCCGGAAAGCGCAGAGGGUACUGCCAGGCUAGAGGACGGGAGAGGAGCGCGGAAUUCCCGGUGUAGCGGUGAAAUGCGUAGAGAUCGGGAGGAAGGCCGGUGGCGAAGGCGGCGCUCUGGAACGUACCUGACGCUGAGACACGAAAGCGUGGGGAGCAAACAGG